RNAcentral lists this unclassified non-coding RNA (200 nucleotides) under soil metagenome. Its description in RNAcentral is "partial contains internal transcribed spacer 2 and large subunit ribosomal RNA". The record is from RNAcentral.
UUCGAGCGUCAUUUCAACCCAUCAAGCUCACGCUUGGUAUUGGGGCCUGCGGUUUCGCAGCCUCUAAACUCAGUGGCGGUGCUAUUGAGCUCUGAGCGUAGUAAUUUUUCUCGCUAUAGGGUCUCGGUAGUUACUUGCCAGUAACCCCCAAUUUUUAUCAGGUUGACCUCGGAUCAGGUAGGGAUACCCGCUGAACUUAA